Molecule: long non-coding RNA, 984 nt
Filed under: Cicer arietinum (chickpea)
Lineage: Eukaryota; Viridiplantae; Streptophyta; Magnoliopsida; Fabales; Fabaceae
Description: long non-coding RNA (CARI_LNC002821)
Source: RNAcentral
AUAAAUAAACAACAAAAUUAAUUAUUACCUUUGAGUUGAAGUUAAUUGCAUAAACAGCUGUAUUAAUUUAGAAUAUUAAUUAGCGUUGAAAUUUUAGACAGGAGAAAAUCAACUAAUACAUUUGAUUGUUAAUAAUAAUUGCAAAAGAUUUAUUCUAAAAUAAAUUAAAAAAAAAAAAGAUUUUAUUAGCAUUGAAACUGAUUAAUUCCCGCGAGAGAGCGCCUAUUCCAGUCUCCUUAUGGGUUUAGAUACUUGUGAUCCAAACAAGAAUUUAAUUAGUUACCGUUGAAAGAAAAACCCAACAAAUUACCUAUAAAUUUGGACACUUACCCUCUGUUAUUGUAUUCACGCUAAUUGAUCCAACACACUUACAUUCUUUUUGUCUUAUUGAGAGCUUUUAUUUCUGUUUCUUCCUUUUAUGCUUUGAUAACCGCCAUCAACACUCACCGCAGAGGUGUUUGUUCUUCCGCCACUGAUUCCCCGCACAAUAGCGAGCUUUCCGUUUUCAUCACCGCUGGUUUUGGUUCAUCUAUCACCGGCAUCGGUGGUUCCGCCAACCAACAAGUCACCUGAAGUUUCUCUUUUCAUCAACGCCAACUACUCCGUCGUUUCGCAGGUUUUCUAUUUCGUUUUAGAAAAGGUUUUCGCAUUUUGUUUAACGUCGUUUCGCAGGUUUUCUAUUUUUUUUUUUAGAAAAGGUUUUGGCAUUUUUGUUUAAUUUCUUUAUGGUUAAUACUAAAAUUAUAUUAUUUAUCACUCUCACUUAUUCUUAUUUUCAAUUGCUAAUUGUUUCUAUUUCUUUAUAUAUUUUUAGUGCAAAAAAUGGAGAAUCAACAUUAUCAUGCAAUAAGAGCAACAGGAGUAACCGAAGAAGUCAACUUUUACCAUGGAGUGUCGUUUUUAUAGUACUGUACGAGAAGGACAUUCUAUUCUUAAUGAAAACAACAUCAAUGAUAUUAGGGAGGUUUCAAAAUGACAAGAACA